AUCAUCAUAGCUGUCCCAAACAGACAUUUCAAAGUAUCUUGCAGUAAAUGACUGUUUAAGUACAUUACAAAUAAAACUCAAGAGAAAAGAGAAAUAUGUAGAGAGAAAGAACAGCAAAUUCAGCAUGAUCCUGGUCCACACAGCAAAACCAUCAGAAAGCUAGCAUGCUAGGUAUCAGUCCAGAGAAACCAUCAGAAAGCUAGCUAGCUAGGAAUCAUCCAGAGGAACCAUCAGAAAGCCAGCUAGCUAGAUAUCAGUCCAGAGGAACCAUCAGAAAGCCAGCUAGCUAGGAAUCAGUCCAGAGGAACCAUCAGAAAGCCAGCUAGCUAGGAAUCAGUCCAGAGGAACCAUCAGAAAGCUAGCUAGCUAGCUAGGUAUCAGUCCAGAGGAACCAUCAGAAAGCUAGCUAGCUAGGAAUCAGUCCAGAGGAACCAUCAGAAAGCUAGCUAGCUAGGUAUCAGUCCAGAGGAACCAUCAGAAAGCUAGCUAGCUAGCUAGGAAUCAGUCCAGAGGAACCAUCAGAAAGCUAGCUAGCUAGGAAUCAGUCCAGAGGAACCAUCAGAAAGCUAGCUAGCUAGGAAUCAGUCCAGAGGAACCAUCAGAAAGCCAGCUAGCUAGGAAUCAGUCCAGAGGAACCAUCAGAAAGCUAGCUAGCUAGGAAUCAGUCCAGAGGAACCAUCAGAAAGCUAGCUAGCUAGAUAUCAGUCCAGAGGAACCAUCAGAAAGCUAGCUAGCUAGGAAUCAGUCCAGAGGAACCAUCAGAAAGCUAGCUAGCUAGGUAUCAGUCCAGAG
This 792-nucleotide long non-coding RNA is filed under the name Salmo salar (Atlantic salmon). RNAcentral's name for it is "lncRNA (ENSSSAG00000094160.1)". The record is from RNAcentral. Lineage: Eukaryota; Metazoa; Chordata; Actinopteri; Salmoniformes; Salmonidae.